This is a long non-coding RNA of Mus musculus (house mouse), 1513 nucleotides long. RefSeq annotates it as predicted gene, 39738. The record is from RefSeq and is a predicted model, not a curated record. The transcript has 3 exons. Lineage: Eukaryota; Metazoa; Chordata; Mammalia; Rodentia; Muridae.
CAGGAAAGGGAUUAGUGCCUUGCUGGGAUCACAAGAGAGCAUGCUUCCGCUCUGACUCCCUGUGUCAGGACAGAAGACAGCAUCCGUGUACAACAAGGAAAAAGGCUCUUGCCAAAGCCAUCAUGCGCCCUGGUCUCAUACUCCUAACCCCCCAAGCAGGAGCUCCAUGCCUUAAGGCACCCGCGGCACUCACAGCGCAAGGAGGCCCCCAUCCACAGGCUCAGCCACAUGACAGGCCCAGAAGCAGCCAGCACAACUGCCGGCGAUGCCUGCCAACAAGCCAGAUGCUGCCGCACAUUGGCAUCUGGGUCCUGGAAUAGCAAGCAAGCUCUCAGUCUGGCUAGGGAUUCUGACCCCAGCUUCGGAAGGAGACAAAAACAGGGAAGAAAGAGUGGGACGAGGGGAUGGAGGUCGGCUGGGGAAAGCUCUCUUGGUAAUUUCCCUACGGUGGAUUUAGAGCUAACAAAAGUCUCCUUGGAAAGCUGCUCCAGGAGCCGCAAUGGUGGAAGAAGUGAGAAUGAAGAGAGCGAGCGUCCUGGCACCUGGGAAGUGGGGGUGGCUGCUUCUAAAGGAGACAGCUGCAGCAGGCAGCUUCUCUCCCUCCUGUCCUCCAGCCAUGAUGGCCCACGGUGGGGCUAAGCUUUGUGGGACAUGGCUGUAAUCUGCAGCAGGGGACAGAGGAGCAGUAUCGGUGGCUGUCGAGAGCCUGCUCUCCAGGUGCCAAGGCUCACCACCGCCAGCCAGGCCAACUGAGUGGCGAGAGCCAGAUCCAGACCCCAUUCGGAAGGGAGCCUUACAGUCAGAAAAGGUGCAGUCAGUGGGUUCUGUCCUCAGAUACAGGGUGAAGGAGACAGGAAGCCUCCAGUGCUGUGGGGUCACACAGACGGAGGCUGAGCUCAGGGGAGGCCAAGGCUAAGUGUAGGGUGGGGAGUGAAACAGGAAAAUAAAAAGCAAACAGCAGUCCUUUCCUAAAACAGCAAAUUCUACCCAGCAUCCUCUUGGUUCCAUUUCCAUGCCUGAACCCUAGGAUCAGCCUGUGCUCAGAAGAGUCCAGCACCUGCAGCCGCAGAGCCAUGCAGAACUGUCCCUUGUGUGACAGAGCAUCUGUCUGGGACUGGGUAUCACAGCCUUUACUUAGACUCCUGAUGCCCCUCUGGCCAUCACAGGUGAAACUGCAUAACACUUCCUCCCUAUGGUCUCUUAGACAACAGUGUCAUUUAGAAAGGCCAAUGUUACUAGUACCAUGGCCGCGUCAGCACAACGUAGACACAGGAAGUAGCUGCUCACGUGGACCUCUCCUGGAUGCUGCUCAUGCAGUUCUGCUUCCAUCAGACACGGUCUCAUCUGACAGAGGCUGGCCUCGAACUCCUCACGCUCCUGCCACAGCCUUCCUACUGCAAACACAAUUAUCUGAACAUUUUAUAGGUGUUUUCCAAAAUUGAAUGAGUAUAUACCUUUUAAAGGUCUCAGCUAAUGUAUUCCUAAUACUUUAUAAAAUAUCCUUCUGGUGAAA